CCUACGGGUGGCUGCAGUAAGGAAUAUUGGUCAAUGGACGAAAGUCUGAACCAGCCAUGCCGCGUGGAGGAUGAAGGUCCUCUGGAUUGUAAACUUCUUUUAUAUGGGACGAAAAAAGGCCUUUCUAGGUCGUCUGACGGUACCAUAUGAAUAAGCACCGGCUAACUCCGUGCCAGCAGCCGCGGUAAUACGGAGGGUGCAAGCGUUAUCCGGAUUAACUGGGCUUAAGGGGUGCGGUAAGUCGUUGGUAAAAUCCCCGAGCUUAACUUGGGAACUGCCAAUGAUACUAUCAGUCUUGAAUACCGUGGAGGUCAGCGGAAUAUGUCAUGUAGCGGUGAAAUGCUUAGAGAUGACAUAGAACACCAAUUGCGAAGGCAGCUGGCUACCCGAAUAUUGACACUGAGGCACGAAAGCGUGGGGAUCAAACAGGAUUAGAUACCCCUGUAGUC
Molecule: ribosomal RNA, 449 nt
Filed under: uncultured bacterium
Lineage: Bacteria
Description: partial 16S ribosomal RNA
Rfam family: Bacterial small subunit ribosomal RNA
Source: RNAcentral